RNAcentral lists this small nucleolar RNA (77 nucleotides) under Drosophila persimilis. Its description in RNAcentral is "snoRNA:GL27987". RNAcentral also lists the same sequence under 1 other name. Lineage: Eukaryota; Metazoa; Arthropoda; Insecta; Diptera; Drosophilidae. The record is from RNAcentral.
CCUGAUAUGAUGAUCCUUAUUUUAAUGCUACAUACCAAGAUCGCAGAAUGAUCGUGUUGAAAAAAUUGUCUGAAGCU